This 396-nucleotide long non-coding RNA is filed under the name Manihot esculenta (cassava). Its description in RNAcentral is "long non-coding RNA (MESC_LNC005845)". Lineage: Eukaryota; Viridiplantae; Streptophyta; Magnoliopsida; Malpighiales; Euphorbiaceae. The record is from RNAcentral.
UGGCCCACGCUGGCUCCACCUCUUAUAGGAAACCGAUUGAUGUUGGAUGGACAAAUGCUAUUGAUUGCAGAUUCUGGAUAUACCUGAUAUUAUGUUGUCUAAUUUGUUUUGCAUAGCCUAUUUGUUGAUGUUGGUUAAGUUUGUGAUACUGAGUUGUAUAGCGUUGAGGAUAUGAAUGUUUUGUCUGUAUUGAUGAGGCUUGUUGUCUCUGUUAUGUACAAUGUAAGUGAGGUAUUUUACCUUUUAUUGUUGUACAGUAAUUCAACAAUAAAAUUCCUUAUUGAUUAAAAAAAUGUCUAAAUUAAAAAUUUAAAGGGUAAAUUAUAUUUUCGUAUUUAAAAUUUAGCACAAUUAACGGAUAAAUUUUUAUAUUUUUAAAAUUAAACGCUUAAAUCU